Molecule: long non-coding RNA, 1562 nt
Filed under: Homo sapiens (human)
Lineage: Eukaryota; Metazoa; Chordata; Mammalia; Primates; Hominidae
Description: non-protein coding lnc-PPIAL4F-4:3
Source: RNAcentral
GCUCUGAUUGUACUUUCUCCACAAGCUUCAGCAUGGCAGUAUCUCUCACCACUUGUUUUGGUCCAAGGGCAGAAAUGAGCAUCCUGGAAACCAAUCAGUACUUGCUCUCUGAACUGGAAAAGUGCAAAGAGAACUUCCGAGACCUCACAGAGAAAUUCCUGACAUCCAAAGCUACUGCCUACUCCCUGGCCAAUCACCUGCAGAAAUAUAGAUACAUGAUCCCUUAAUUCAGGCUCAGGCUGAAGAACUGACCCACUUACGACAGAAGAUACAAGAAGGGAGAGGUGUCUGCUACCUUUUCACCCAGCAUGUGAAGAACACAGUCAAGUCUUUUGAGGGCCUUCUCAGGAACACUGGCAUUGCCUACUACCAGAGACAGAGAUUCUGUGAGCAAAUGGUACAAGGAAGCCAGCUAACAGAGAUCCUUGUCAGAAAACUUGCCACAGAAAAUCACAAUGGUAAGAAAAUGAAGACAGGCAAAAGCCACUGGCUCCCAGGCACACUUUACUCCCAGUCAAAAGUGGACUGUAUACUUCCUCUUUGAUGUGAUGGUCCCUUUGGUUUUGGUGCCUCUUCCAUGAGCUUCAGAUCAGAACUAGCUAUGUGGUUCCAGGCUGCCCUGGUUUAAUCCCUUGUCUUGCCUACUUCACCUGGCUCAAGAGGGAAGUCCAGGAGGAAGAAAUGGAUGAAGUCCUGGAGGACUCACUAGAUGAACAGUAUUUGACUCAUUCCAGCUGCCAUGACUCCCACCAGCUUCCCAGCAGCAAUGCCUUCCUCUUUGAUGCACAGGAAGGCCCCUCGGCUGUGGAAAUAGCCAAAGAUGAGAUCCAGAGCCAGUGGCAGCACCUGAAAGAGAUCCUUUUCAUCAACAACUGCCUGUGAGAAAAGCUAGAACAUCAUCACAGCAGCUUUGACGAAGAAAAUGGAUGCACCUCUAACCUCUACAGGCAAAUCAUAGAUUCCAUUGUCCAGCUGUAAAAUGAAAACAGAGUUCUCAGAGAAGAAUACCGGAGACUCCCCCGACUUGCCUGAAUCAAAUUUCCAGAGGUAAGUGGUGAAAGGCUACAAUAUGAAGUCACUCUCAGAUGGGUCCCUUCUCUUGCCACACUCCACUGUAGAAAUAAAAGAGGACGGGGAGGCCAGAGCUGCUCAAAACCUUAUAACCCACAAUUCUCAUAGUCAUUCUCAACUUAGAGAGGGCUGCUUUCUAGACACACCCCCUCCAGGCCCCCAGACUGCCAGGCUCCAGGAAUAAGUAGCUCUAAGAAAUACAGUAUUUCGAUGCGAGCCACACCCCACUAUUGCAAAUUGGAGAAGAGAAGGACAAACUUAAAAGGUGAAAAGAUUUAACAGAACAACAGGGUGAAACCCCAUCUCUAAUAAAAAUACAAAACUUAGCUGGGCGUGGUGGCAUGCACCUGUAGUCCCAGCUACUCAGGAGGCUGAGGCAGGAGAAUCAUUUCAACCCAGGAGGCAGACGUUGCAGCGAGCCAAGUUUGCACCACUGCAUUCUAGCCUGAGUGACAGAGCAUGACUCCAUCUCAAAAAAAAAAGAAAAAAAG